This 484-nucleotide ribosomal RNA is filed under the name uncultured bacterium. RNAcentral describes it as "partial 16S ribosomal RNA". It matches the Rfam family "Bacterial small subunit ribosomal RNA", at positions 30 to 507 of the family's 1533-position model. The record is from RNAcentral.
AUUGAACGCUGGCGGCAGGCCUAACACAUGCAAGUCGAGCGGCUGCAGGGAGCUUGCUCCCGGCUUCAGCGGCGGACGGGUGCGUAAUGCCUAGGAACCUACCUGGUAGUGGGUGCUAACGUCCGUAACCGGGCGCUAAUACCGCAUACGUCCUGAGGGAGCAAGUGACGGCAUUUCGGACCUCCCGCUAUCAGAUGAGCCUAGGUCGGAUUAGCUAGUUGGUGGGGUAAAGGCCUACCAAGGCGACGAUCCGUAACUGGUCUGAGAGGAUGAUCAGUCACACUGGAACUGAGACACGGUCCAGACUCCUACGGGAGGCAGCAGUGGGGAAUAUUGGACAAUGGGCGAAAGCCUGAUCCAGCCAUGCCGCGUGUGUGAAGAAGGUCUUCGGAUUGUAAAGCACUUUAAGUUGGGAGGAAGGGCAGUAAGUUAAUACCUUGCUGUUUUGACGUUACCAACAGAAUAAGCACCGGCUAACUUCGUG